Long non-coding RNA from Vicia villosa (hairy vetch), 3343 nucleotides. RefSeq lists it as uncharacterized. NCBI's taxonomy places the organism in Eukaryota, Viridiplantae, Streptophyta, Magnoliopsida, Fabales, Fabaceae. The record is from RefSeq and is a predicted model, not a curated record. The transcript has 6 exons.
CCUUUAGCAUUUUCUUUUCCAUUUUCUAUUAUGCAGAAACACGUGAAUACACUCUAUUCUCUUCCUUCUCUCUGAAAACCCUAGCGCCGCCGCCGAACCACCUUUUUCAUCUCCCUCCGGCCACCGCACCUCUAAUCGAUGAAAGGAGCUUAUUUUCGUGCUCAUCAUCACGUGACCUUCAAUUUGAACCAAUUGGAUUUUUGUUUUUGACAAAGUCAUUUCCGGCCACUUCGGCCUUUUCUGCUCCAUUUAGCUCAUCCUUUCAUGUGGUUGUUGUUGAGUAUCGUUUGUAGAAACUCCUCCUUCACCUUCGUUCUCUCGCCGCGAAACAAUUGGUACAAUAACAAGCCAUCGUCGGACUUUUGGUCGUUGUGGUCUUCUCUAUCCUUGGUUUACAUUAUCAGAUAUUCACGCCCAGCAAGUUUCCUGGCAAUGCUGAUUUUCACUUGUUCAAGGAGGGAGUGUGCCAGGGGAGGGAAAUCUUGACACCGUGUAGCUUGAAAAUGUAAUUUGUUUAUUAUUAGUGAUCUGCUUUUGUUUUUAAGGGAUACAUAUUGGGUGAUUUGGUAUAUAUGUGCUCUUGUGGAUUUUAUUUAAUCAAGUUUAUUCUUGCUUAUGCUGACCUGAGAAUUUAGAAACUUAACUUUUUUAAAGAAUAUCAAUGAGUACUUGUUUUAUCUUGCUUGUUAACUUGCAGUAGUUUCCAUAAUUCCUAUUGUUUGAGUCAUAGUUUAGUUAACUAUGUAGUUUUUAACAGUGGCAUCCAAGCAUUUUAUUAGACAUUUUAUUAGACUUAAGAAUAUCAAGAUAUGUUUAAUUAUUCAACUUAUGUUUUAAAAUGGAACAUGCAGAGAUGUCUUAGGAACAAGUUUGGAUGUUGUGUAAUCUGUUAUACAUCACAGUAUUUUCUACAAUUAGGCAUUUAAUGUAUUUAUAGUGUAGUUAUAAUUGUUGUAAUUUAUGGUUAUUCAGGAUUAAUAGUGGAGAGUGAGUCGUGUUAAUGGAAUAAAUGUUUCUUAAUUGGCAUAUCAAACAUGGUUUGCCUAAAAAAGUUGGUUAUUACUAAUAGUGAGCAUUAGAGCAUCACAUUAAUUCUUGCCUUGAUGUUAAUAACUUGAUGUUCAGCAUGUGGUCUGUGAGUUAUUUACAAUCUUGCUGGAGAUGUAUCUGAAAUGCUCAAAACAUUUAACUGUUUUUCUGCAUUAGUUAGUGAAAUUUUGGAAUUCAUCAUGACAGCAUCUAUUUCCAUUUUGAAUAAUUUGUUUUAAUUGCUCCAGUGCUUCCCUUUGCUACUAUCAUUUAUUUGGUGUAAUUGAUGAAUAUUAAGUGGCAGCAGCUUCUGAUGGCCAGUGUUAAUGUUUUUGUUAGAAACUAGGAAUCCAUAAUGAUGUGGCAGUGUUAAGUUUAUGCAGUUGUUUGUUGCAUUCAGUUAGUGUGGAUUAACCUCAUCUUUAAGGGUUUUUUAGAUUUACUUUGGCAUUAUUGUCAAGAUAUACACUCUCAAGACCAUUAUUGUCAUGUUUCGCUCGCAAGUGAAAACCACAACCUUGCUCUAAUUUAUCUAGGGAACGCAAGCAGGCUUACCAAGUGGAAUUGGAGUCUUUGGCUGUGAAACUAGACGAAAGCAAACUUGCAUAUAGGCAUCAAGUUAUAGCUCAAAAAUACUUGCAGGAGCUGUUGUAUGCUCUCAAUGCAAAGGUGAUGGAGUUAACUCUGUUGAUUUUUUCAAUGGACUCUUUAAAGCUAGUACCGACAAUUGAGAUGGGAGGUGUGUGGAUAGUUCAUCAACACUGAAAGGUGGAUAAUGUUCUUCACCGCAAAAACUUGCUUGGUAUUGUUUAGAUUAGCUUUUAGAUUAUAUAAGUGUGUCUGGUGUAUACUUGAUUUUAAAAUAUUAAAAGUGCUUGAGUAUACUUGAUUUCAUUCACCCGAGCCGAGGUCUAAACACAUUUCAGUUGUCGGUGUUUUAUGCCUUUCAACCUGUUUAGUUGAAUAAACUAGAAUGAGAUGAUUAUAUGGUUUAAUCCAGCAGGUGGAGAAUCUCAUACUUCAAGUUCUUAUAUGACGAGAUGAUUAUAUGGUUUCAACCUGUUUUGACAUAGUUAUCUUUUCCUCUUUUAGAUUGUCUCUAUUUCUAAAAGUUUUUUUGUUGUAUUUUUGUGCUGAAGAAUUAUAGUGUUUCUGAAUAUAUAGCUUAAAGGGAGUAUAUGCCCAUGGACAUCUGUACAACAUCAACAUCUCAGCCAUGUGAAAUUCCUAGCUCAUAUGUGAUAACUUUGGAAGGGCAUACUUCAGAGGUUUGUGCUUGUGCAUGGAGUCCUACAGGAUCCCUUCUUGCAUCAUGGUCUGGGGAUUCAACAGCUCGUAUUUGGACGAUAGAUGAAGGGAGAUGCAAAUCUACUUUCAGGAGUUACCCUUCUAAUGUAUUGGUGUUGCCACACCUUAGGGGUACAAACAACGAAAAGAGUAAGGAUGUCACUACACUUGAUUGGAAUGUGAGUACAGUGGCAUAUGGUGAUUUAAAUCCAUGAUGAUUACUGAUAGUGACUUCAAGUUCCUCUCUAGUUUUCUGUUUUUUCACAUCCAUUUCUAUCUUUUGGUUACCCGUUGGAGUUGUCUUGAGCAGAACAAUUUUGUGGGAAAAAUGAUGUAUUAGGAUAAUUUUCUGUUUUUUCACAUCCAUUUCUAUCUUUUGGUUACCCUUCUAAUGUUUUUUCAAGUUCCUCUUAUUGUUCAAUGAAUUUGUCUUAUUUAAGUUCAAAACAUUUUAAUUUAUAAUUUUAUUUUUACAUUAUGGUUAUUUUAAUAUAUAAUUUAUAUUGUUCUACAAAGUUAUUAAAUUUUUUUUUAAUUUGAGAUAGAAAUUACCUGCGGAUUUACCUGCGGAACUUCCUGCCGAAAAUAUUACCCACGAAGGUUUUAGCUGGGGACAUAAAACCGCAGGAAAAUCCGCAGGAAACGUGUUUCCUGCGGAAAUUUAACUAAAAUCCGCAGGUAAAUAGAGUAUUUCUAGUAGUGAUAAAGCACCUUCUUUACUUUUGUAAAAUAAUUUAGUAUCAUAAAGAAUCGGAAUGAUAAUUCUCUAAUUCAUCCCAAAACACCUUUAAAUGUGUGAAAUUAAUAAAAAUAAAAAGAAAAACAUCAAAAGUAACUUACAAAAUUUGUAGAUAUCUUUUUGAAUUUCUAAAAGUCGGAAAAUGUCACUCUACGAUAGAAAAUUGAGAUUUUUCUAAAGAAUUUUGCAAUUGAUUCCAUGCAAAAACCAUUGUGAUGCAUCAAUGCAGGACUUUAGUUCAGAUGCAAGUAAUAAAGGUUUACAUAAUUUAUCGAAAAAUCAGAAAAA